UGACGCGAACGGGUGAGUAACACGUGGGCAACCUCCCUCAGGCUCUGGGACAACUCCGGGAAACCGGGGCUAAUACCGGAUACGACCUUCUUCCGCAUGGGGGUUGGUGGAAAGUUCUUCGGCUGAGGAUGGGCCCGCGGCCUAUCAGCUUGUUGGUGGGGUGAUGGCCUACCAAGGCGACGACGGGUAGCCGGCCUGAGAGGGCGACCGGCCACACUGGGACUGAGACACGGCCCAGACUCCUACGGGAGGCAGCAGUGGGGAAUAUUGCGCAAUGGGCGGAAGCCUGACGCAGCGACGCCGCGUGAGGGAUGAAGGCCUUCGGGUUGUAAACCUCUUUCAGCAGGGACGAAGCGAGAGUGACGGUACCGCAGAAG
This 377-nucleotide ribosomal RNA is filed under the name uncultured bacterium. Its description in RNAcentral is "bacterial SSU rRNA". It matches the Rfam family "Bacterial small subunit ribosomal RNA", at positions 94 to 487 of the family's 1533-position model. The record is from RNAcentral.